RNAcentral lists this ribosomal RNA (395 nucleotides) under uncultured bacterium. RNAcentral describes it as "partial 16S ribosomal RNA". It matches the Rfam family "Bacterial small subunit ribosomal RNA", at positions 361 to 773 of the family's 1533-position model. The record is from RNAcentral.
AUAUUGGACAAUGGGCGAAAGCCUGAUCCAGCAAUGCCGCGCGAGUGAUGAAGGCCUUAGGGUUGUUAUGCUCUCUUAUCAGUGAUGAUAAUGACAGUACCCUGUGAAUAAGCCCCGGUCAACUUCGUGCCAUCAGCCCCGGUAAUACGGUGGGAGCUAUCGUUGUUCGGAAAUACUGGGCGUAAAGCGCACGUAGGCGGCAUCGUAAGUCCGGGGUGAAAUCCCGGGGCUCAACCCCGGAACUGCCCUUGAAACUGCAGUGCUAGAAUCUUGGAGAGGCGAGUGGAAUUCCGAGUGUAGAGGUGAAAUUCGUAGAUAUUCGGAAGAACACCAGUGGCGAAGGCGACUCGCUGGACAAGUAUUGACGCUGAGGUGCGAAAGCGUGGGGAGCAAAC